RNAcentral lists this ribosomal RNA (429 nucleotides) under Bacteroidota bacterium. RNAcentral's name for it is "Bacteroidetes bacterium partial 16S ribosomal RNA". It matches the Rfam family "Bacterial small subunit ribosomal RNA", at positions 355 to 776 of the family's 1533-position model. Lineage: Bacteria; Pseudomonadati; Bacteroidota. The record is from RNAcentral.
UAGGGAAUCUUCCGCAAUGGACGCAAGUCUGACGGAGCAACGCCGCGUGAGUGAAGAAGGAUUUCGGUUCGUAAAACUCUUUUGUUAGAGAAGAACAGCGCAUAGAGUAACUGUUAUGCGUGUGACGGUAUCUAACCAGAAAGCCACGGCUAACUACGUGCCAGCAGCCGCGGUAAUACGUAGGUGGCAAGCGUUGUCCGGAUUUAUUGGGCGUAAAGCGAGCGCAGGCGGUCAAUUAAGUCUGAUGUGAAAGCCCCCGGCUAAACCGGGGAGGGUCAUUGGAAACUGGUUGACUUGAGUGCAGAAGAGGAGAGUGGAAUUCCAUGUGUAGCGGUGAAAUGCGUAGAUAUAUGGAGGAACACCAGUGGCGAAGGCGACUCUCUGGUCUGUAACUGACGCUGAGGCUCGAAAGCGUGGGUAGCAAACAGG